CCGCGGUAAUACGUAGGGAGCAAGCGUUGUCCGGAAUCAUUGGGCGUAAAGCGCGCGUAGGUGGCCUCAUAAGUCCGCUGUGAAAGUCAAAGGCUCAACCUUUGAAAGCCGGUGGAUACUGUGAGGCUAGAGUACGGAAGAGGCGAGUGGAAUUCCUGGUGUAGCGGUGGAAUGCGCAGAUAUCAGGAGGAACACCAAUAGCGAAGGCAGCUCGCUGGGACGUUACUGACACUGAGGCGCGAAAGCGUGGGGAGCGAACAGG
Molecule: ribosomal RNA, 262 nt
Filed under: uncultured bacterium
Lineage: Bacteria
Description: partial 16S ribosomal RNA
Rfam family: Bacterial small subunit ribosomal RNA
Source: RNAcentral